GCUUACGGCCACACCUCCCUAGCACAGCCCCGAUCUCGUCUUGAUCUCGGAAGCUAAGCGGGUCGGGCCCGGUUAGUACUUGGAUGGGAGACCGCCUGGGAAUACCAGGUGCUGUAGCCU
RNAcentral lists this ribosomal RNA (120 nucleotides) under Esox lucius (northern pike). The record is from RNAcentral. Lineage: Eukaryota; Metazoa; Chordata; Actinopteri; Esociformes; Esocidae.